AGGGUUUGAUCCUGGCUCAGGACGAACGCUGGCGGCGUGCUUAACACAUGCAAGUCGAGCGGGGAUUUGGAAGGAAGUUCUUCGGAAUGGAGAUUCAAAUUCUAGCGGCGGACGGGUGAGUAACGCGUGAACAAUCUGUCCCGGACAGGGGGAUAACACUUGGAAACAGGUGCUAAUACCGCAUAAGACCACGGUUUCGCAUGGAACUGAGGUAAAAGGAGCAAUCCGGUUCGGGGUGAGUUCGCGUCCGAUUAGCUAGUUGGUGAGGUAACGGCCCACCAAGGCGACGAUCGGUAGCCGGCCUGAGAGGGUGAACGGCCACAUUGGAACUGAGAGACGGUCCAA
RNAcentral lists this ribosomal RNA (345 nucleotides) under uncultured bacterium. RNAcentral describes it as "bacterial SSU rRNA". It matches the Rfam family "Bacterial small subunit ribosomal RNA", at positions 8 to 334 of the family's 1533-position model. The record is from RNAcentral.